GACGGGCCGGCCGGGCACGGGGCGGUGGCGCUUGUCGUGCCGGUGCGGCGGGCCGACGGGACCGGGGCGGUGCUGAAGCUGCAGCCCGUCG
Molecule: transfer RNA, 91 nt
Filed under: Actinoplanes sp. L3-i22
Lineage: Bacteria; Bacillati; Actinomycetota; Actinomycetes; Micromonosporales; Micromonosporaceae
Description: tRNA-Thr
Source: RNAcentral